GAUGAACGCUGGCGGCGUGCCUAAUACAUGCAAGUCGAGCGAACAGACGAGGAGCUUGCUCCUCUGACGUUAGCGGCGGACGGGUGAGUAACACGUGGAUAACCUACCUAUAAGACUGGGAUAACUUCGGGAAACCGGAGCUAAUACCGGAUAAUAUAUUGAACCGCAUGGUUCAAUAGUGAAAGACGGUUUUGCUGUCACUUAUAGAUGGAUCCGCGCCGCAUUAGCUAGUUGGUAAGGUAACGGCUUACCAAGGCAACGAUGCGUAGCCGACCUGAGAGGGUGAUCGGCCACACUGGAACUGAGACACGGUCCAGACUCCUACGGGAGGCAGCAGUGGGGAAUCUUCCACAAUGGGCGAAAGCCUGACGGAGCAACGCCGCGUGAGUGAUGAAGGUCUUCGGAUCGUAAAACUCUGUUAUUGGGGAAGAACAAAUGUGUAAGUAACUAUGCACGUCUUGACGGUACCUAAUCAGAAAGCCACGGCUAACUACGUG
Molecule: ribosomal RNA, 497 nt
Filed under: uncultured bacterium
Lineage: Bacteria
Description: partial 16S ribosomal RNA
Rfam family: Bacterial small subunit ribosomal RNA
Source: RNAcentral